This 4342-nucleotide long non-coding RNA is filed under the name Citrus x clementina. RNAcentral's name for it is "Citrus clementina (C. clementina) long non-coding RNA (CCLE_LNC006206)". The record is from RNAcentral. Lineage: Eukaryota; Viridiplantae; Streptophyta; Magnoliopsida; Sapindales; Rutaceae.
CCCGAAGGCCGGGGCGCCAAUUUCGUGCAGCGGAAAAAGGCCACAAAAACGGGUGGACUAUAGCCUUGGGGGGUGGGGCUUGCCAUCAUCGUCCGCCGGACUCGGAAUGGCGUGAGACUUUACAAGGCGCCUCCGUGUGCCAAAAAGUGGCCGUGGGCACACCCGCGCCGAAAAAUAACCGCCCGAAGGCCGGGGCGCCAAGUUCGUCCUGCGGAAAAAGCCCACAAAAACGGGUGGGCUAUAGCCUUGGGGGGUGGGGCUGGCCAACUUCGUCCGCUGGUCUCGGAAUGGCGCGAGACUUUCCGAGGCGCCUCCGUAUGCCAAAAAUAGGCUGCGGGAACAGCCGUGCCCAAAAAGAACCGCCCGAAGGCCGGGGCGCAAUUUCGUCCAGCGGAAAAAGCCCACAAAAACGGGUGCGCUAUAGCCUUGGGGGGUGGGGCUGGCCAACUUCGUCCGCCGGACUCGGAAUGGCACGAGACUUUGCGAGCCGCCUCCGUGUGCCAAAAAUAGGCCGCGGGCGCAACCGCGCCCAAAAAUUAGCCCCCGAAGGUCGGGGUGCCAAGACCCCCCAGUGGAAAAAUGGCCAAAAAACGGGUGGGCUAUAGCCUUGGUGGGGGGCGUGGGCGAAGUUCGUCCGCAGGACUAGGAAUUGCCCCAGACUUUGCGGACGGCCCUCGUGUGACAAAAAUAGGCCACGGGCACAGCCGUACCCAAAAAUUAGCCCCCGAAGGUCGGGGUGCCAAGACCCCCCAGCGGAAAAAUGGCCAAAAAACGGGUGGGCUAUAACCUUGGUGGGGGGCGUGGGCGAAGUUCGUCCGCCGGACUCGAAAUGGCCCCAGACUUUGCAGGCGGCCCUCGUGUGCCAAAAAUAGGCCACGGGCACAGCCGCGCCCAAAAAUUAGCCCCCGAAGGUCGGGUUGCCAACACCCCCCAGCGGAAAAAUGGCCCAAAAACGGGUGGGCUAUAGCCUUGGUGGGGGGCGUGGGCGAAGUUCAUCCGCAGGACUCGGAAUGGCCCCAGACUUUGCGGGCGGCCCUCGUGUGCCAAAAAUAGGCCAUGGGCACAGCCGCGCCCAAAAAUUAGCCCCCGAAGGUCGGGGUGCCAAGACCCCCCUGCGGAAAAAUGGCCAAAAAACGGGUGGGCUAUAGCCAAGGUGGGGGGCGUGGGCGAUGUUCGUCCGCAGGACUCGGAAUGGCCCCAGACUUUGCGGGCGGCCCUCGUGUGCCAAAAAUAGGCCACGGGCACAGCCACGCCCAAAAAUUAGCCCCCGAAGGUCGGGGUGCCAAGACCCCCCAGCGGAAAAAUGGCCAAACAACGGGUGGGCUAUAGACUUGUUGGGGGGCGUGGGCGAAGUUCGUCCGCAGGACUCGGAAUGGCCCCAGACUUUGCGGGCGGCCCUCGUCUGCCAAAAAUAGGCCACGGGCACAGCCGCGCCAAAAAAUUAGCCCCCGAAGGUCGGGGUGCCAAGACCCCCCAGCGGAAAAAUGGCCAAAAAACGGGUGGGCUAUAGCCUUGGUGGGGGGCGUGGGCAAAGUUCGUCCGCCGGACUCGGAAUGGCCCCAGACUUUGUGGGGGGCCCUCGUGUGCCAAAAAUAGGCCACGGACACAGGCGCGCCCAAAAAUUAGCCCCCGAAGGUCGGGGUGCCAAGACCCCCCAGCGGACAAAUGGCCAAAAAACAGGUGGGCUAUAGCCUUGGUGGGGGGCGUGUGCGAUGUUCGUCCGCCGGACUCGAAAUGGCCCCAGACUUUGCGGGCGGCCCUCGUGUGCCAAAAAUAGGCCACGGGCACAGCCGCGCCCAAAACUUAGCCCCCGAAGGUCGGGGUGCCAAGACCCCCCAGCGGAAAAAUGGCCAAAAAACGGGUGGGCUAUAGCCUUGGUGGGGGGCGUGGGCGAAGUUCGUCCGCCGGACUCGAAAUGGCCCCAGACUUUGCGGGCGGCCCUCGUGUGCCAGAAAUAGGCCACGGGCACAGCCGUGCCCAAAACUUAGCCCCCGAAGGUCGGGGUGCCAAGACCCCCCAGCGGAAAAAUGGCCAAAAAACGGGUGGGCUAUAGCCUUGGUGGGGGGCGUGGGCGAAGUUCGUCCGCCGGACUCGAAAUGGCCCCAGACUUUGCGGGCGGCCCUCGUGUGCCAAAAAUAGGCCACGGGCACAGCCGCGCCCAAAAAUUAGCCCCCGAAGGUCGGGGUGCCAAGACCCCCGAGCGGAAAAGUUGCCAAAAAACGGGUGGGCUAUAGCCUUGGUGGGGGGCGUGGGCGAAGAUCGUCCGCAGGGCUCGGAAUGGCCCCAGACUUUGCGGGCGGCCCUCGUCUGCCAAAAAUAGGCCACGGACACCGCCGCGCCCAAAAAUCAGCCCCCGAAGAUCGGGGUGCCAAGACCCCCAGCGGAAAAAUGGCCAAAAAACGGGUGGGCUAUAGCCUUGGUGGGGGGCGUGGGCGAAGUUCGUCCGCAGGACUCGGAAUGGCCCCAGACUUUGCGGGAGGCCCUCGUGUGCCAAAAAUAGGCCACGGGCACAGCCGCGCCCAAAAUUAGCCCCCGAAGGUCGGGGUGCCAAGACCCCCCAGCGGAAAAAUGGCCAAAAAACGGGUGGGCUAUAGCCUUGGUGGGGGGCGUGGGCGAAGUUCGUCCGCAGGACUCGGAAUGGCCCCAGACUUUGCGGGCGGCUCUCGUGUGCCAAAAAUAGGCCACGGGCACAGCCGCGCCCAAAAAUUAGCCCCCAAAGGUCGGGGUGCCAAGACCCCCCAGCGGAAAAGUUGCCAAAAAACGGGUGGGCUAUAGCCUUGGUGGGGGGCGUGGGCGAAGUUCGUCCGCCGGGCUCGAAAUGGCCCCAGACUUUGCGGGCGGCCCUCGUGUGCCAAAAAUAGGCCACGGGCACAGCCGCGCCCAAAAAUUAGCCCCCGAAGGUCGGGGUGCCAAGACCCCCCAGCGGAAAAAUGGCCAAAAAACGGGUGGGCUAUAGCCUUGGUGGGGGGCGUGGGCCGAAAUUCGUCCGCAGGACNNNNNNNNNNNNNNNNNNNNNNNNNNNNNNNNNNNNNNNNNNNNNNNNNNNNNNNNNNNNNNNNNNNNNNNNNNNNNNNNNNNNNNNNNNNNNNNNNNNNNNNNNNNNNNNNNNNNNNNNNCCAAAAAACCGGUGGUACUAUAGCCUUGUUGGGGGGGCGUGGGCGAAGUUCGUCCGCCGGACUCGAAAUGGCCCCAGACUUUGCGGGCGGCCCUCGUGUGCCAAAAAUAGGCCAUGGGCACAGCCGCGCCCAAAAAUUAGCCCCCGAAGGUCGGGGUUUCAAGACGCGCUAGCGGAAAAAUGGCCAAAAAACGGGUGGGUUAUAGCCUUGGUGGGGGGCGUGGGCGAAGUUCGUCCGCAGGACUCGGAAUGGCCCCAGACUUUGCGGGCGGCCCUCGUGUGCCAAAAAUAGGCCACGGGCACAGUCGCGCCCAAAAAUUAGCCCCCGAAUGUCGGGGUGCCAAGACCCCCCAGCGGAAAAAUGGCCGAAAAACGGGUGGGCUAUAGCCUUGGUGGGGGGCGCGGGCGAAGUUCGUCCGCCGGACUCGGGAUGGCCCCAGACCUUGCGGGCGGCCUCCGUGUGCCAAAACUAGGCCACGGGCACAGUCGCGCCCAAAAAUUUGCCCCCGAAGGUCGGGGUACUAAGACCCCCCAGCGGAAAAAUGGCCAAAAAAAGGGUGGGUUAUAGCCUUGGUGGGGGGCGUGGGCGAAGUUCGUCCGCCGGACUCGAAAUGGCCCCAGACUUUGCGGGCGGCCCUCGUGUGCCAAAAAAAGGCCACAGGCACAGCCGCGCCCAAAAAUUAGCCCCCGAAGGUCGGGCUGCCAAGACCCCCCAGCGGAAAAAUGGCCAAAAAACGGGUGGCCUAUAGCCUUCGUGGGGGGCGUGGGCGAAGUUCGUCCGCCGGACUCGAAAUGGCCCCAGACUUUGCGGGCGGCCCUCGUGUGCGAAAAAUAAGCCACGAUCACAGCCGCGCCCAAAAAUUAGCCCCCGAAGGUCGGGGUUUCAAGACGCGCUAGCGGAAAAAUGGCCAAAAAACGGGUGGGCUAUAGCCUUGGUGGGGGGCGUGGGCGAAGUUCGUCCGCCGGACUCGAAAUGGCCCCAGACUUUGCGGGCGGCCCUCGUGUGCCAAAAAUAAGCCACGAUCACAGCCGCGCCCAAAAAUUAGCCCCCGAAGGUCGGGGUUUCAAGACGCGCUAGCGGAAAAAUGGCCAAAAAACGGGUGGGCUAUAGCCUUGGUGGGGGGCGUGGGCGAAGUUCGUCCGCAGGACUCGGAAUGGCCCAAGACUUUGCGGGCGGCCCUCGUGUGCCAAUAAUAGGCCACUGGCACAGCCGCGCCCAAAAAUGUG